This 253-nucleotide ribosomal RNA is filed under the name uncultured bacterium. RNAcentral's name for it is "partial 16S ribosomal RNA". It matches the Rfam family "Bacterial small subunit ribosomal RNA", at positions 524 to 776 of the family's 1533-position model. The record is from RNAcentral.
UACAGAGGGUGCAAGCGUUGUUCGGAAUCAUUGGGCGUAAAGCGCACGUAGGCGGCUUUGCAAGUCGGGUGUGAAAGCCUGGGGCUCAACCCCAGAAGUGCAUUCGAAACUGCAGAGCUUGAGUCUUGGAGAGGGCAGUGGAAUUCCGAGUGUAGAGGUGAAAUUCGUAGAUAUUCGGAGGAACACCAGUGGCGAAGGCGACUGCCUGGACAAAGACUGACGCUGAGGUGUGAAAGCGUGGGGAGCAAACAGG